GAGGGUAUAGCUCAGUGGGUAGAGCGCAUGCUUAGCAUGCAUGAGGUCAUGGGAUCGAUCCCAGUACCUCUG
This 72-nucleotide transfer RNA is filed under the name Camelus dromedarius (Arabian camel). It matches the Rfam family "tRNA". From Rfam's summary of the family: Transfer RNA (tRNA) molecules are approximately 80 nucleotides in length. RNAcentral also lists the same sequence under 1 other name. Lineage: Eukaryota; Metazoa; Chordata; Mammalia; Artiodactyla; Camelidae. The record is from Rfam by way of RNAcentral.